This 356-nucleotide ribosomal RNA is filed under the name uncultured Microgenomates group bacterium. RNAcentral describes it as "bacterial SSU rRNA". It matches the Rfam family "Bacterial small subunit ribosomal RNA", at positions 1016 to 1382 of the family's 1533-position model. The record is from RNAcentral.
CCCGCAAGGGGACAGCGAGACAGGUGCUGCAUGGCUGUCGUCAGCUCGUGUCGUGAGAUGUUCUCUUAAGUGAGGUAACGAGCGCAACCCCGUUCUGUGUUAUUGUGUCACAGAAGACUGCCUAGCAUUAUUUUGUUAGGAGGAAGGAGGGGACGACGUCAAGUCAUCAUGAUGCUUAUAUCCAGGGCUACACACAUCCUACAAUGGGCUAUAACAGAGGGUUGCAAGACCGCAAGGUGGAGCUAAUCCCUAAACUAGCCCUCAGUUGGGAUUGCAGGCUGAAACUCGCCUGCAUGAACCCGGAAUUGGUAGUAAUCGCACAUCAGCAGCGUGCGGUGAAUACGUUCUCGCCUCUU